GAUGAACGCUGGCGGCGUGCCUAAUACAUGCAAGUCGAGCGAACAGAUAAGGAGCUUGCUCCUUUGACGUUAGCGGCGGACGGGUGAGUAACACGUGGGUAACCUACCUAUAAGACUGGGAUAACUCCGGGAAACCGGGGCUAAUGCCGGAUAACAUUUAGAACCGCAUGGUUCUAAAGUGAAAGAUGGUUUGGCUAUCACUUAUAGAUGGACCCGCGCCGUAUUAGCUAGUUGGUAAGGUAACGGCUUACCAAGGCAACGAUACGUAGCCGACCUGAGAGGGUGAUCGGCCACACUGGAACUGAGACACGGUCCAGACUCCUACGGGAGGCAGCAGUAGGGAAUCUUCCGCAAUGGGCGAAAGCCUGACGGAGCAACGCCGCGUGAGUGAUGAAGGUCUUCGGAUCGUAAAACUCUGUUAUUAGGGAAGAACAAAUGUGUAAGUAACUGUGCACGUCUUGACGGUACCUAAUCAGAAAGCCACGGCUAACUACGUG
RNAcentral lists this ribosomal RNA (497 nucleotides) under uncultured bacterium. RNAcentral describes it as "partial 16S ribosomal RNA". It matches the Rfam family "Bacterial small subunit ribosomal RNA", at positions 28 to 507 of the family's 1533-position model. The record is from RNAcentral.